CCCUUAGAUGUCCUGGGCUGCACGCGCGCUACACUGAUGUGUCCAGUAAGCACCUAACUUCUUCCGAAAGGAACGGGUAACCUUUGCAAAGCACAUCGUGAUGGGGAUAGAUUAUUGCAAUUAUUAGUCUUGAACGAGGAAUUCCUAGUAAGCACAAGUCAUCAGCUUGUGUUGAUUACGUCCCUGCCCUUUGUACACACCGCCCGUCGCUCCUACCGAUUGAAUGUUCCGGUGAGCUCUUCGGACUGCGCGGUCUGCAGUUUCUGCGUUCCGUGCGGAAAGUUGCGCAAACCUUAACAUUUAGAGGAAGGAGAAGUCGUAACA
Molecule: ribosomal RNA, 324 nt
Filed under: uncultured eukaryote
Lineage: Eukaryota
Description: partial 18S ribosomal RNA
Rfam family: Eukaryotic small subunit ribosomal RNA
Source: RNAcentral